RNAcentral lists this ribosomal RNA (617 nucleotides) under uncultured bacterium. RNAcentral describes it as "bacterial SSU rRNA". It matches the Rfam family "Bacterial small subunit ribosomal RNA", at positions 28 to 641 of the family's 1533-position model. The record is from RNAcentral.
AUUGAACGCUGGCGGCAUGCUUUACACAUGCAAGUCGAACGGUAACAGGUCUUCGGAUGCUGACGAGUGGCGAACGGGUGAGUAAUGCAUCGGAACGUGCCCAGUCGUGGGGGAUAACGCAGCGAAAGCUGUGCUAAUACCGCAUACGAUCUAUGGAUGAAAGCGGGGGACCGUAAGGCCUCGCGCGAUUGGAGCGGCCGAUGUCAGAUUAGGUAGUUGGUGGGGUAAAGGCUCACCAAGCCAACGAUCUGUAGCUGGUCUGAGAGGACGACCAGCCACACUGGAACUGAGACACGGUCCAGACUCCUACGGGAGGCAGCAGUGGGGAAUUUUGGACAAUGGGCGCAAGCCUGAUCCAGCAAUGCCGCGUGCAGGAAGAAGGCCUUCGGGUUGUAAACUGCUUUUGUACGGAACGAAACGGUCUUGGUUAAUACCUGAGGCUAAUGACGGUACCGUAAGAAUAAGCACCGGCUAACUGCGUGCCAGCAGCCGCGGUAAUACGUAGGGUGCAAGCGCUAAUCGGAAUUACUGGGCGUAAAGCGUGCGCAGGCGGUUUUGUAGUUGCAGUCGUGAAAUCCCCGGGCUCAACCUGGGAAUGGCGAUUGUGACUGCAAAGC